UACGUAGGGGGCAAGCGUUGUCCGGAAUCAUUGGGCGUAAAGCGCGUGUAGGCGGCUCGAUAAGUCUGCUGUGAAAGUCCAGGGCUCAACCCUGGGAUGCCGGUGGAUACUGUCGAGCUCGAGUCCGGAAGAGGCGAGUGGAAUUCCUGGUGUAGCGGUGAAAUGCGUAGAGAUCAGGAGGAACACCCGUGGCGAAGGCGGCGCCCUGGUCCGUUACUGACGCUGAGACGCGAAAGCGCGGGGAGCGAACGGG
This 253-nucleotide ribosomal RNA is filed under the name uncultured bacterium. RNAcentral's name for it is "partial 16S ribosomal RNA". It matches the Rfam family "Bacterial small subunit ribosomal RNA", at positions 524 to 776 of the family's 1533-position model. The record is from RNAcentral.